This 515-nucleotide ribosomal RNA is filed under the name uncultured bacterium. RNAcentral's name for it is "partial 16S ribosomal RNA". It matches the Rfam family "Bacterial small subunit ribosomal RNA", at positions 28 to 523 of the family's 1533-position model. The record is from RNAcentral.
GACGAACGCUGGCGGCGUGCCUAAUACAUGCAAGUCGAGCGGAUGAAGGAGGAGCUUGCUCCUCCUGAUUCAGCGGCGGACGGGUGAGUAACACGUGGGCAACCUGCCCUGUAGAUUGGGAUAACUCCGGGAAACCGGGGCUAAUACCGAAUAAUCCACCGGACCUCAUGGUCUGGUGUUGAAAGACGGCAUCUCGCUGUCACUACAGGAUGGGCCCGCGGCGCAUUAGCUAGUUGGUGAGGUAACGGCUCACCAAGGCCACGAUGCGUAGCCGACCUGAGAGGGUGAUCGGCCCCACUGGGACUGAGACACGGCCCAGACUCCUACGGGAGGCAGCAGUAGGGAAUCUUCCACAAUGGACGAAAGUCUGAUGGAGCAACGCCGCGUGAGUGAAGAAGGUUCUCGGAUCGUAAAACUCUGUUGUGAGGGAAGAACGAGUACCGGAGUAACUGCCGGUACCUUGACGGUACCUCACUAGAAAGCCACGGCUAACUACGUGCCAGCCGCCGCCGUAA